RNAcentral lists this ribosomal RNA (1432 nucleotides) under Lacticaseibacillus rhamnosus. RNAcentral describes it as "bacterial SSU rRNA". It matches the Rfam family "Bacterial small subunit ribosomal RNA". The record is from RNAcentral. Lineage: Bacteria; Bacillati; Bacillota; Bacilli; Lactobacillales; Lactobacillaceae.
UCGAACGAGUUCUGAUUAUUGAAAGGUGCUUGCAUCUUGAUUUAAUUUUGAACGAGUGGCGGACGGGUGAGUAACACGUGGGUAACCUGCCCUUAAGUGGGGGAUAACAUUUGGAAACAGAUGCUAAUACCGCAUAAAUCCAAGAACCGCAUGGUUCUUGGCUGAAAGAUGGCGUAAGCUAUCGCUUUUGGAUGGACCCGCGGCGUAUUAGCUAGUUGGUGAGGUAACGGCUCACCAAGGCAAUGAUACGUAGCCGAACUGAGAGGUUGAUCGGCCACAUUGGGACUGAGACACGGCCCAAACUCCUACGGGAGGCAGCAGUAGGGAAUCUUCCACAAUGGACGCAAGUCUGAUGGAGCAACGCCGCGUGAGUGAAGAAGGCUUUCGGGUCGUAAAACUCUGUUGUUGGAGAAGAAUGGUCGGCAGAGUAACUGUUGUCGGCGUGACGGUAUCCAACCAGAAAGCCACGGCUAACUACGUGCCAGCAGCCGCGGUAAUACGUAGGUGGCAAGCGUUAUCCGGAUUUAUUGGGCGUAAAGCGAGCGCAGGCGGUUUUUUAAGUCUGAUGUGAAAGCCCUCGGCUUAACCGAGGAAGUGCAUCGGAAACUGGGAAACUUGAGUGCAGAAGAGGACAGUGGAACUCCAUGUGUAGCGGUGAAAUGCGUAGAUAUAUGGAAGAACACCAGUGGCGAAGGCGGCUGUCUGGUCUGUAACUGACGCUGAGGCUCGAAAGCAUGGGUAGCGAACAGGAUUAGAUACCCUGGUAGUCCAUGCCGUAAACGAUGAAUGCUAGGUGUUGGAGGGUUUCCGCCCUUCAGUGCCGCAGCUAACGCAUUAAGCAUUCCGCCUGGGGAGUACGACCGCAAGGUUGAAACUCAAAGGAAUUGACGGGGGCCCGCACAAGCGGUGGAGCAUGUGGUUUAAUUCGAAGCAACGCGAAGAACCUUACCAGGUCUUGACAUCUUUUGAUCACCUGAGAGAUCAGGUUUCCCCUUCGGGGGCAAAAUGACAGGUGGUGCAUGGUUGUCGUCAGCUCGUGUCGUGAGAUGUUGGGUUAAGUCCCGCAACGAGCGCAACCCUUAUGACUAGUUGCCAGCAUUUAGUUGGGCACUCUAGUAAGACUGCCGGUGACAAACCGGAGGAAGGUGGGGAUGACGUCAAAUCAUCAUGCCCCUUAUGACCUGGGCUACACACGUGCUACAAUGGAUGGUACAACGAGUUGCGAGACCGCGAGGUCAAGCUAAUCUCUUAAAGCCAUUCUCAGUUCGGACUGUAGGCUGCAACUCGCCUACACGAAGUCGGAAUCGCUAGUAAUCGCGGAUCAGCACGCCGCGGUGAAUACGUUCCCGGGCCUUGUACACACCGCCCGUCACACCAUGAGAGUUUGUAACACCCGAAGCCGGUGGCGUAACCCUUUUAGGGAGCGAGCCGU